Pelobates cultripes (western spadefoot toad) is the source of this 1193-nucleotide non-coding RNA. The record is from the annotation of a GenBank genome assembly. Lineage: Eukaryota; Metazoa; Chordata; Amphibia; Anura; Pelobatidae.
GGAAAAUAUAACAUGAGUCUUGAAGUUGAAAACCAAGAAAUUUAACUUACAAAUGGUACUCAGUUGGUAAAUCAUACAUACGGAGAUGGCACACUACGAAAUUACUGUGAAUUAUUUAUUAUUAGUUAAGUAUACAACAUUUGUUCAAUUUCUUUAUAAUUGGCUUGAAGUCAGUGGUUUUCAGGAUGUCAUUUUCCAUACACGAGUGAAAGCCAGUACAAACGCUGCCUGCUACCCCAUUGUGCAGCAAAGGAGAUUUUUUUAAUUUUUUUUUAUCAGUUUCAGUCUUGAAAAUGAACAUUCUUCUGCACAGUUGGUCUCAGGAUUGCAGGGACAGAUAACUGUGGUGCUUCGUCCACCUAAACGUUUUAAUAAAGAGAGAUUUGACGGUUCUGAAUAAAUCUCCUGGAAUGAUAUACUGAAAAUUUGGCAAGCUUAUGAGGCCCCUAUACUUCUGGGUUCCCCUGAGCAACUGCCCAGCCUACCCAUGCGUUAAGACGGCUUUGACUUAAAGGACACUUCACUGUGCAAGGAGGCAGAGAGAAAGAACGAGUGACAAUAUCUCCAUUUACCACGACUAACCUGCCAGAAAUUAGCCCCAAUCAAGGCUAUUCGGUUGUCAUAAAACCAAAUAAGCAUUUUAUAUUAGUUCAAACAUAGCAGUGAGUAUACGUUUCAGAAUGUUAAGAGUGCAUUAAAGUGUCUGUGAGAGUGUAUUACUUUGCCUGAAUGGGAGAGUGUUUAUAAAUGCAUGUUUUUACAAACAUCUGAGUUUUUCUAAUGUUACCAUAGCAACUAAAAUGAACUAUUAGAGUAUGGCACAAUUAAAGAUGGAUAACAUGUUUUCUGAUUGAUAGAUUUGUAUUUUCACACAUUACAUUUACAUUGAUACUGCUUUUAAUCCAUUCACCGCUAAGUAUUUGGGCCCAAAUCCUUCUGUCCCUCUUUUCUAUCCUAAUGUCCAUCCUUCCUAGGAGCUCCAUAUUGUUGGUGUGUGCAUGACAAUGUUCCACAGCAAUAACAAUCACAGUAAUGUGUUUGAACUACAAUACGUUUGUUUAAAAACCAAUUUAUUUAUAUAGGAUUCAUUGUUCUUGUUUUAAAUUACAUUUUCUUUGCAUAAAUAAUUAAUAGUAAAUCACCUAAAUUUUCUCAGAACAGCUCUGCUCCCUGACCAUACCCCUACAUACACC